This 19986-nucleotide long non-coding RNA is filed under the name Gossypium barbadense (sea-island cotton). Its description in RNAcentral is "long non-coding RNA (GBAR_LNC017594)". The record is from RNAcentral. Lineage: Eukaryota; Viridiplantae; Streptophyta; Magnoliopsida; Malvales; Malvaceae.
CGGCCUAGAGGUUAAAGAUGGACAAAAAUUGGCUUUUAAUUUUAUUUUUAAUUCAUUUUAAUAACUAAAUGACCAAAAUGCCCUUAAUGAAAAACUUUGGAAACAUGCCUAACCAUACCAAUUUUUGUCCACCAACUUAACCAAUGGUCUAAUUACCAUAUAAAGACCUCCAAUUUAAAAUUUCAUAACAAUUGGACACCUCUAACAUAUAGAACUCAACUUUUGCACUUUUUACAAUUUAGUCCUUUUGACUAAAUUGAGUGCCCAAACGUCAAAAUUUUCGAACGAAAUUUUCACAAAAUCAUUUUGUGAAAUCGUAGACCGUAAAAAUAUAAUGAAAAUAUUUUUUUCUUGUCAAAUUUGUGGUCCUGAAACCACUAUUCCGGUUAGCCCCAAAUUCGGGCUGUUACAUUAGAUUUGAAACAACGUGGCUGUUGGAGGAAUCGUGUGAAAUGGAGGAAGUGGGCCUUGAGAAAUGGUUCCAUAAAAUUAAAAAUCAGAAGUCUCUAACGAGGAAAUAUUUGAAACAACAGUUGCUUAAAUUGAAUGAAGCUAUUCCCAUGGAUGAAAUAUUGGGAGAAAUUAUGGAGACUAAACUAGCGCUUAACAUAGAGGCUAAUAGAAAGGAGCUUUAUUGGGAGUAGAGAGCUAGAGCGAAUUGGCUGAAAAAUGGGGAUAGAAACACAAAUUUUUUUCAUCAAUCGGCAACGGAUCGUCGACGAAGAAAUAGGGUAGAGGAGCUGGUGGAUGGUACGGGUAAUAUUCAUAAGAGCAAUGUUGAUUUAUUAGUGUUGGCCACAAAUUAUUUUAAUAACUUAUUUACAUCGAAAGGUGUUUGAAAUUUAAAUUCUAGUUUAGAAGGUGUCGAGCCAUGUAUAUCUCAAUUGAUGAACGAGGAUCUUAAGAGGGAUUUUACUUAUGAAGAGGUGUGUUUGGCUUUAAAAGCUAUGAGCCCUUUAAAAGCUUCUGGGGAGGACAGUUUAGGGGCGGUUUUUAUCAAAGGUUUUGGCAUAUUGUGGGUAAAGAGGUGGUAGAUUUUUGCAUUGAGACGUCCCAUGGGCUUCAUAACACUGCUGAAAUAAACAGUACAAGAAUUGUCUUGAUCCCCAAGGCUAGUUCUCCUCGUUUCAUGACUCAUUUUAGGUCUAUUAGUCUUUGUAAUAUUUUAUAUAAAAUUAUUUCAAAGAUACUAGAAAAUAGGCUUCAAAAGGUCCUUCAUAUUUGCAUUGACGAAGCACAAAGUACUUUUGUUUCGAGAAGACUUAUUACCGAUAACAUCAUAGCAGCAUAUGAAAUUUUUCACUUAAUGAAGAGAAAACGGGUAGGGAGAGAGGGAUCAUUUGCCUUAAAACUUGACAUGAAUAAGGCAUAUGACCGGGUUGAAUGGUUUUUUGUGCAAGUUAUGCUUCAAAGGAUGGGUUUCUCAGAUCAGUGAGUCGAGAAAGUCAGGCGUUGUGUGACCUCGGUCUCUUACUCUGUGGUUAUGAAUGGGGAGGUGGGUAAUUUAUUUCUCCCAUCAAGGGGACCCUAUUAGUCCCUAUUUAUUUCUUAUUUGUGGAAAAGGUUUGUCUGCUCUUCUUCGGAUAGCAGCUACAAGGGGUGUUCUUAAUGGUUUUCAUAUAAAUAGGCACGCUCAUCGGGUUACCCACUUGUUUUUCGCCGAUGAUAGCCUUAUUUUUUGAGAUGCAACAGUUGAUAGGGCUAAAGCAUUUAAAGAAAAUUUAGAGGUUUAUGCCCAGAGUUCGGGUCAAGAAAUUAAUUUCGACAAGUCUAAAGUCUUCUUCAGCUCAAAUGUCAAUCAGAAUAAAAGAGAAGUGUGUCAAAUUUUGGGGGUUAAUUGGAGCAUUAAUCUGAAAAAAUAUCUCGGUCUUCCAGCAAUGGUGGGGCGUAAUAAGAAAAGGGCUUUUAAGGAGCUUAAAGAAAGGUUAAUCAAGAGGGUAUCCAAAUGGAGCUCGAGAUUACUUUCUAUGGGUGGGAGGGAAGUUCUUAUUAGAGUUGUACUUCAGGCUAUUCCUUUGUAUGGUAUGAAUUGUUUCUUGCCGCCGUCGUCUGUUUACAAAGAACUGGAAGCUGUCAUAUCCCAUUUCUGGUGGCAAAAGAAAGCUGAAAGAAAAGGUCUUUAUUGGUGUUCGUGGAAAGAGUUGUCUGUGCCAAAAGAAGAGGGGGAAUAGGGUUUCGAGACUUGUCCAAGUUCAAUAUUGCACUACUAGUGAAGCAGGGCUGACGUCUAAUGGAAAACCCGGGUUCGCUAAUAGCGUGUUUACUUAGAGCAAAAUAUUUUAAUGGAUCAAAUUUCAUGGAUGCUUCUCUAGGAGUGAAUCCAUCACUUGUAUGGAAAAGUAUCUGGUGUGCAAAAGGACUCUUAGGCUCUGAUUUGAAACGGAAGAUUGGAUCUAGAACAUUUGUGUCAAUAUGGCAAGAUUAUUGGUUGCCAGGGAAAGAUCAAUUACUUAUUUCUACAGGUAGGGUGGCUGGAAUGAAAUGUGUGUCUGAUUUGAUUUUGCAGAAUCCUAAUAAUUGGAAUAGAGACCUUAUUUAUUCAACCUUUACAAUGGAAGAAGCUGAUCAAAUUGUGAGUCUUCCUAUUCCUAUUACAAAUCAAUCUGAUAAAGUAGUUUGGUCUAACGAAAACUCAGGUAUCUAUUCUGUGAAAAGCAUAUAUAAAAUGCUAUUGGAUCCCCCAAAUGUGAAUUUAAAUGAGCAAAAGCUAUUCAAGCAAAUAUGGAGCUUAAUGUGUCCUUCAAAAAUUCGCAUCUUAAUCUAGAAAUUUGCAAAAAUUUAUGUUCCUACUUAUCUGAACUUACAUUUUAGGAGAUUAAUCACUGAUCACAAAUGUUCGUGUUACCGAUAACUUUGUGAAUCCUCUACCCAUGUUGUUCAUGAUUGUUUGUUUGCUGCACAAGUUUGGUCCAAAUUAAAUUUUCAGUGGCCGAGUUCAAUGGCAAAUUCAAAUUUUAAUGAGUGGUUGAACUAGCUUUUGGAGAAUUCAGCCAGUAACAGAAAAGAUGAGAUUGCUAUUACAAUUUGGGCACUUUGGUUUUCUCGAAACAAAUAUGUCCAUUAGAAAAAGAUGUAAAGUACAGAAGAAGUUGUUACCUUCAUUAGGGGUUUUGGUAUGGAAUAUCAGGGUAGCGCAUCGACUUUGAAACAUCCUAAACCGCGAUCCAUGGUAAAAUGGAUGCCCCAUUCGCAAGGGUGGGUGAAAACUAAUGUCGAUGCGCGACUUUCUGUUGCAAAAAAAAAUACAGUUUCAGGUUUCAUCAUAAGAAAUGAGGAAAGCUUUAUAAUGGGUUUGGGGUUUAAAAGGCAUAACCUAGUUCGAUCGAUGGUGAUUGCUGAAGCGACUGCAGUACUGCAUGGGCUCCAAUUUGCACUGGAUUUGGGAUUCACAAACGUCAUUCUUGAGAGCGAUUCAAAGCUGGGUAUUCAGAACAUACAACAAACAAGCAAAGAUUACUCAGAAUCCAAACCAUUCACCUGGGAUGCGAAGAAUUUGGCAAGGAACUUUUCUUCUUGUCGAUUUCAAUUCGUUACCGAUAAGGAAAUGGGGCAGCGCAUGCAAUGGCUGUUGAACGUUUUAGAACUGAUGAGGAUUCGUUUUGGGUUGAAGACGUGCCAUUGAAAGUCUUGGAAGUAGCUGAUUCUGAUCGACGAUUCAGUCGACCACCAUAAUUCAUUUUCUGUGAAGUCGAUUGGGUUGAGAAACUUGGUAAUCUGGUUGUCUAUCUCAACUUGCUUCCUCUUCUGGUUGACUCUUUGCUGAAAUUUGGAAGAUUUAACCAUUUAUUCUUAGGGGAGUUCAGAUUUGCAAAGAGAUUGGAAGACUGUAGAAAUGAGAAGACAAUUUCUUAUUUUGUGGCCUAUUGCUUUUUUGGUUUUCUAUUUUUUGUUUUCCUGUUAUUCGGUUUUUCCUUUCGUUUUUUCCUUUGGGGUUGUUGUAAACUUCUCUGAUUUGGUCUUUUAGGCCCAAGUAUUAAACAAACUUUAUUUCAAAUUUUUUUUUUCUUUCAAGCUAUUUGGACUUGAACUUUUUGAUAUUAACACUAUGAGGGUAGAGUUUAUAUUUUCCAUAAACUUACCUCUAUUUAGUACAUUGAGACAGUACUCGCUCACAUCUCUUCUUAUAAUGUGAAACAUUUUUAAACAACAUUAUUUUUUAAAUAGUUUUAAUUUAUAAAAUUAUUUUUAAAUAUACAUCUAAAAUUUAGCCAAAAUUUACCUAGUUUAAGCAAAAAAUUAAUGUUAACAUUUAUCAUAUGGUAAAAAUCAAAUGAAUAUUAAAAUAUUCUUUUAUACUUUUAAUAUUUACCUAUAUCAUAAGAUAAUUUUACAAACAUGACUAAUAUUAUUUAAACAUAAAAAUAGUUACUCAUAAAUUUAAAUACGAUUAAUAGUUACUUACCAAUAUUUAAAAUAAAUCAAUCAUAUAAAUACUAAUAAUAUUAUUUAAAGUAAAUCAUAAAAAUACUUAAUCAUGCUUAAGAUAUCAAUAACAAUUCAUAUUAUCAUGGCUCUUGUCCAUACUUUCGUGGUUUUUGUUUUGUCUACUAUGUUCUAUCUAAAAGUCGUGGUUGCUUUAAUUUUUAGUUUUUAGUUAUUUUUUAAUCAUGUUUUGAUAUAUAUACAUAUAUAUAUAUAUGAGAUUUACCAAGGUAACGGUGUCACCAUAUUUAUUGAGAACCAUUAUUAGAGGGCAUUAUCAUGAUAAAACACAAUGAUGAUAUUUAUAAAAUUGGAUUCUAAAAUGAUGAGAAGGAGGAUAGGUCAUUUGAAACUUGGCCUUUUGUGCAUCGCUUAUGCAGUAGGUCACUUAGGGCCCUUGGUAAUGGUCUCCUAGUUGAUCGAAAUUUAUCAUUAGAUUAGUCUGAUGAUGGCAUGAUUUGAAUGCAAUUUUCAACAAAUUGAUCAAUGUGAUGCAUCUUUGGUUUGUUUUUAAAUUUUUCUAGUGUUAUGACUACUAUUAGUUUGCAAACAUAAUAUUUAUGUAUGAGUUUGUAGGUCAUAUUUAUUGUUUGUACUAUAUGUUAUGUCUUGUAACAACAUACUCUAUGACCAAACGAAUUCCUUUGCAAAACUAGAUUACCUAUUUCUCCACAAACCUCCCAUUUGGGUUAUGCUUUAGACUCUAAGUUUAUGCAAGGAAGAAAUAUUAAUGGUAAAGCAUUAAUCAUGAAUUGCGACAUCACCUAGAGAGAAGGGAGUGAAGAUGAAGAUGGAGGAAAGAGGAAAAUAUAAUAGCAAUUAACAAUUUAAUUUAAUAUUAUAUUAUAUUAAAAAAUUUUAUUAUCAUUAAAAAUUUACGUGUCAACUCUUAAUUGGUUGAAGAAUUUUUUUUAACGGAAAUAACGAUAGGGGCUUAUAAUGGUGACGAAAUUCUAAUUUUAAGUAUAUGGUUUUACAAAAAUAAAAUUUAGUUAACUAACUAAAAAAAUGAUAUAAUUUAAAAGCUACUUAUUCAAUUAAGCCUAAAUUUUUAUAAUUAAAUGACUAAAAAAGAUUUAAUUUGUAGUUGAAACAAAUUGUUAUCUAUAGGAAAUCGUUUUGGAUUCACAUCCUUAUUUUAAAAAUCCAACUCAAAAUAAUCGUAUACUUUACAAGCAAAGGAUGAUUUUAGUUUUUAGAGGAAAAGAGAGAUAAACAUAGAUAUUGUGAAGGGUUGGUCAGGCCGGACAAGGUAUCUAGACCAAUGUUUCAAGUUCGGAUUCAAUUUGAAAAUUGAGUUUACUUUUUUGUCUAAGUUCGAUCCAAUUUAAGAAAGGUAAACUCGAGCUCAAUCUGACUCAUUCAUAUUUGACUUUUUUAGAUUAAUUUUAUUUAAAAUAAUUUUUUAAAAUAUAAAAUACUAAAUGCACUAAAAAUGUUAAAAUAAAAGUUUUUUUAUUAUAUUAAAAAUACUACCAUAAAUUUAAUAAUGUUUUAUUAUAUUAAAAACUACAAAUAAAUAUAAUAAAUAUGUUUAUUUAAAAUUUUAUAUUUUGAGUUGGGUUGUUUUAAUUGGUUAAAAUUUUUUCUUUAGGUUUUGGAAAAAUGAAUUUAAGUAUUGUUGAGUUAAUGAUUUAGUAUAAUUAUUAAUAUAUAUAUAAUUAAUAUAAUAUUUUAAUAUAAUAUUAUAUAUUCAGAUUAAAUCGAGUUUAGAUAAAAAAAUCUUAUUCAAAAUUCGACCGAUAUAAAAAACGGACAUCAAAUUUUAUUCAACUUCUCUUUUAAAUAUUUUAAUUUUUCGAAUUAGCUUUCGGACUUGACUGUGCGGCCCAUAUCACAAUAUUAGAAGGAUCGCACAUUCACAUGGCAUAUUCCGUCAAUCCAACGGUAAAUCUCUUGACACGUGUACGGCAAGAUAGCAUCACAACCGCCUCGGUCCCUUUAGUUGUUAGGUUAAAAACUCGGGUACGGUGAGCGAAACCUUAUCCUGAAGAAAGGGGGAAAAAAUAUUAAUUUUCAAUUUUUUAUCAUUUUCUCGGGAAAAAGAAAGAAUUUUCUUUUCUAGAUCUAGUCUUUACGAUCAUGGAGAUGGAGAGCGUGACGGAGUUUCCUCAUACGCAUAUGGAUCGGCGACCUAGAAAGCGGCCGCGAUUGGGAUGGGAUGUAACUCAGUUGCCGCCGCAGGUAUCGCCUUUGUUCUUUGAUUUUCUUUUCCUAGAUCUGGUUAAUAUUUACCCUAUAUGUAGAGUUUUCCAAUUUACGAAUCUGUUCUGUAAAGAUUAACAUGCUCUUUUUAAGGAUUUUGCCUUAGAUCUGCUAUUAUUUGAUUUGUUCUUUUUUCCUUUGUUAAUUUGUAUGUUUUAUCAUUCAGUUUAACCAUCAAUUUAUCUUAUUUUUAAGAAGAAAUUCGUGUCUUAGGGAUUUAUCCCUCAAUUUGUAAGAUUCCAAGGGCAUCGGAAAGAUAGAACAAAUUCAUCAAUAUGUUAUAUUUUGUGUUGCACGAGUCUUUAUUAUGAUAAUUUUUGGGAUAAAUAAUUACUUUUUAAGCCUUUUUUAGAUAUUAUAUACUGUUUCUCUUUUGUUUUUUCUUAUGGAAUUUUUGGUAGGUAAGAAUAAGGGAUUUUAAGGUGAUUGGGGAUGAUAAAAAAGUGUUGAAUUUUUUUUAUCUUUUAGUGGUACAAUGAAUGGAUGGCUGUGUGUAGGCUCAGGUAGGAAUGUUUUAUUCACAAGAGAUUUGGAAUGUGACAAGCGUUGCUUCUACUGCAAAAGCACCCUCAGAUUGUGCUAGUACUAUUACUACUAGUUCUUCUGUAGUUCUAAAUGGUGGAUUUGCUCGAAACGGUUCUCCCCCGUGGCGAGAAGAUGACAAAGAUGGGCAUUACAUGUUUGAGCUUGGAGAUAAUUUAACCUCUCGCUGUAAUUUCACUUUUACCAUCACAAGCUUAUAUUCAUUGAUAAAUUGCCUUGAAAACCAUAAAGCAAAAUGUUUGAAUUGGUAUUUGGUGAAUAGGAUGAUUGUAUUUCUGGAUUUGAUUGUAGGUUAAACUCUCAACGGUUUAGUGAUAAUUAGCAUUUUCUUUAUUGUUCUAAGGAGUUUUUAACACAUUUUUGUUAGUUAUUUAGUACUUUUGUUUCUAAUUAUCCUUUCUUUACGGUUGCAGAUAAGAUACAGAGUAAAAUGGGUGAAGGUAUACCUUAGUGAACAUAUUGCGUCUUUUGUUUACCUAUGGUUUGGUUCAAUAUAUAUAUGCCAUUUCAUCUUAGUAGGCAUCUCUUUCCUGACCUCCAUCCUUUUACAGGUACUUUUGGUCAGGUUUUAGAAUGCUGGGAUAGAGAGAGGAAGGAGAUGGUUGCUAUCAAAAUUGUUCGUGGAAUUAAGAAAUAUCAUGAAGCAGCCAUGAUAGAAAUUGAGAUGCUGCAACAGCUUGGGAAACAUGAUAAAGGUGGCAAUCGGUGAGUUAUCCACUGCAUUAAAAUUAUAUUUCGCUAGAGCCACCAACUUUAUAACAGACUUUUUGAAGUUCUUUUUGCAAUGGUUAAAUGCGUUCAUUCCUUGCAGUUGUGUGCAAAUACGGAACUGGUUUGACUAUCGUAACCAUGUCUGUAUUGUAAGUAUAUGAUUGAUUUGUGAUGGAUUGCUUUCCCCACUGACCAAUAAUUUGGGGGUUAAAACUUGUGAAUGAAUUUAAAUGGUUUCAACAGGUGUUUGAGAAGCUUGGACCAAGCUUAUACGAUUUUCUACGGAAUAACAAUUAUCGCUCAUUUCCCAUUGAUCUUGUCCGCGACAUUGGCAGACAACUAUUGGAAUGUGUAGCAUGUGUGUAAUAAUUACUAAGCUAGUAUCUCUGCCUAUCCUUCUUAUGUUGCCAUAUUUAAGUUAUCAUUAUCUCGACUGCUAAACCUUAAUAUAAAAUGAAAUCAUUAGGUUCUAUGAAUGCCUUCUGUUAGCUAUUAGAGGUGUCUGAAGUCUUUUCCUUUGAAAGCAUUUGCAUUGAUGUUUAUUAGAAUGGUACCAAUUGUUGUGCUUAUUCUGUCACUGGUUUCUUAUAGUUUGCUCUUGUUAAUAUUUGCAGUCAUGCAUGAUUUGCGUCUGAUACAUACGGACUUGAAACCAGAAAAUAUUCUUCUUGUCUCUCCAGAGUGUGUCAAAGUUCCUGAUUACAAGGUAUUUUCCUUUAGUUGAAACCUUCAUCUUUCUUUGCAGCAAGAGUUACUGGUGUAAAAUCCCUAUCUGUGAUGUAUUACAUCUGUCUGUCAUUUCUUGGGCUAAUUAUUUAUAUUAUUUUUAUGCUGCCAGGGUACAUCAAGAUUUCCAAAAGGUAGUUCUUACUUUAAAAGGUUGCCAAAAUCAAGUGCCAUUAAGGUAAUAGAUUUUGGUAGCACUACUUAUGAGCGUCAAGAUCAGUCUUACAUUGUGUCAACACGACAUUAUCGUGCUCCAGAGGUUAUUCUUGGUAUGCAUUUUCAGGUUAUUAUGGCUCACGUAUCAAUGGUUUUAGAAAAUGGUCACAUGAUCAUUAAAUUUUUUAUAUCGGAUUUUAUAGGACUGGGAUGGAGUUACCCUUGUGACAUAUGGAGUGUUGGCUGCAUCUUAGUUGAAUUAUGCACGGUAUUUCAGGAAAACCGAUUCAUUGUAUUGUGGUUUUGUAAGAUUGCAAAAUGAUAUAUGAGCAGAGCACUUAUACAACAGUUGAUAUUCCGACAGGGUGAGGCAUUGUUUCAAACACAUGAGAAUCUGGAGCACCUUGCCAUGAUGGAGCGGGUGUUGGGUCCACUACAUCAGCACAUGUUGAAGAGAGUAGAGUGCGUGGAUUCUUUAGUUUUUCAUUUUCCCCCUUUGUCUUAUUGAAGUUUAUUAACAUGUAGUUUGUGGGUUCCAGUCGACAUGCGGAGAAGUAUGUUAGAAGUGGUAGACUGGAUUGGCCAGAUGGUGCUGCAUCAAGGGAGAGUAUGAGAGCUGUUCUUAAGCUACCUCGUCUUCAGGUAUGGUUUUGUUUCGGGCGAGCGUCACGAUUGGUGGUGGGUUAUGUUGGUCUAAUAGGCUUGUGCAAUGAUUGCAGAACUUGAUAAUGCAGCAUGUGGACCAUUCGGCUGGGGAUCUAAUCCAUCUAUUGCAGGGGUUGCUUAGGUAUGACCCUAUUGAUAGGCUCACUGCUCGUGAAGCUCUAAGGCAUCCGUUUUUUAGCGGGGACAAGUUUAGGCGAUGAGCGUGCGAUAUGCUUCACUUUGUAAAUUGUAUCAAACAUUCAGUUACAUGAAAAAUUGUAUCAUUAGUUGGAUUGAAUAUACCUUUUUAUAAAUUAUCCUGCCCAUGUCGUUUUUUCAAUGCAUCUCUGAGGGCAAUUGACACUUGAAAAAAGUGUUGCAACAUGAUAUUUUAAAAUUAAAACAAAUAAUUUAAGAUUAAAUAUCAAUUGAUCUAAAAUUUAAAUACAUUUUAUAUGGUUAUGCUUUUGAGCUUCCAAAUGCAAAAUUAAAUAAAGCAGCUGAAUUUUCUAUAAAACACUCAAAAGUGAGUUGACUCAAAUGAGACUUACAAUGUCAAAAACACUUCCGAAAAUUCGAGGAGCUUCAAAAUUUUGAGGUAAUUAUUAUUUGGGCUCGAAAUAUUGGUUUAUAGUAAUGUGCAAAAGAUACCAGGACAUAGAUUAAACAGUUGAUCGUUAAAUCCUAUCAAUCUUGCUUAAUUAGUUGUUAACGACUAUUGAAUUAGCUAUUAUGAUGCUUAUGUGAUGAUCCAUGGCAGUAACGACUACCAAUAAGGUCAUUAUGGACUCAAUUUUUUUUAAAUUAUAUCCAAUUUUAGAAACUUUAAAAAUAUAAUAUAUUAUAAAAAUAAUACAAAAAUGAGUAAAGGCAGUUUCUUGAUAUUUUUGCAACCCAAAAAUAAGCUUGAUUUCACAUCUAAAACGUGGAUUUAUUAUAUAUUUUAUUGAAAUCCAUUGCAUGAUUAAAAAGUUUAUAUUUAUUUUAUUAUUUAUACUAAAUAAAUUUAUUAUAUAUUUCGUUUUUUAUUUUACAUGGAAGUUAAGCGUGGGCAUAGAAAAUACUUCAAUCACCAAUGCCAUGAUCAGCAAAUUGGAUAAAAAGAACUUCAAAAAUUUAUAGAAAGAAAAGCAAAAAUCACCCUUUCUUUUUGAAUCAUAAUUAUUAUAGUCCUCCUUCAAAACCCAACAAAAUUGGAAAAUGACCAAAGCAAUAAUGGUGAGAAAUCAUGAUUCCUACUUUUUCCUAAUAAUGGAUGCCAAGGUUAAAAAAACAUAAUAUUAAAUUUAGCUCUUAACGUUUUAUUUUUGUUAAUUUGACUCUUUUUUUUAGUUAAAUUUGAUCGUUAACUUUUUAAAAGAAUUUAAUUACUUUUUUUAACAAAAUGUUGACUAAAAUAUUAAUUUUUUAACUAUGAAAGUGCGGCAACCCACGUGACAUCUACAUGUACUUCAUGUAAACAUGACAUUACUUGUCAUAUAUGUAACGUCAAUAAAUAAUUUAAAAAUUAAAAAAAGUCAUAAAGUUCAUAACAUUUUUUAAAAAAAACAUAAAAGUACAUGUAGAUUGCCAUAUGGGCUACUAUGUUUAAAAUUUUAACAUUUUAGUUAGUAUUUUUAUUAAAAAACUUGAGUACUCAAGACCCAGAAUCUUUGCCUUUGUCAAUUGUGCUGAUCCAUUUAAUUUUUAGAUUUUAAAAUUCAGGUCCAACUAUUAUUAAAAUUAAAUUCAAGUUCAUUACAACUUCAUUUUUUAGUUAUAUUGCUAUCAAGUAAAUUUUUUUAUUCCAAAAUAUCAAAAAAAAGUUAACAAUUGAACUUGAAUUCUGAAAUAUAAGAGAUUAAAUUCCUAAAAAUAAAAAUAUAUAUACUAAAUUUCAAAUUUGCAAAGAGUACAAGAAACUUUGAUAUAUUUUAACCUAUAACAAAAACUCCUUUAACAAUUUACGUAAACAAAAGCUUAAUAGGUGAUUUAUGAUGCCAAAAAAAUUUAAGGAAUUUGAGAUAAAUUAUAAAAUUUGGGAGUUUUUUUUUUUGAAAUAAUUAAGAUUGGGCUUUAUUAAUAAAAAAUAUUGUAACAAAACUUAUAAACCUAUUAUCCUAGGAAAACCCGACCCAAAACAGAUGGCCAAGGUUGAAAUAAAUAUCUAGAUAUUAAAAGAGAGAAUUCUAGAACCUACAUUAAAUGCACUGACCUAUUGCCCAAUCAAAAUUUGCUGAAAUCUGUCAUCUCGUCUUCCCAUCAUUUCAUUUCCAGUUUGACGAAUUUUCUUUCAAAACUUCUUCUGAAUCGUUUCACUUUCUUUAGUUUUGAAGCUUUCUUCCUUCCUUUCCUCAUCUCUUGGCAUUUCUUAGUCUGGUUCGUGCAACCGAUCAUAUCUUCUUUGAUCUUUGGCAUACUCAGAGACCUCCAUUUCUAGGUAAACCUCCUCUUUUUUAAAAUUUGGGAGUUUAAACCUAAAAAUCUUGCAUUAAAAAUGCUUAAAUUAAAUUAUCAAUUUUUAAAAGGGUUAAAAUUAUAUAUAUAUUUCAUUUAACCAAAGGUGAAAAAUUACUAAAUUGAUUUUUUUUUUUAAAUUUGAGGAGUAACUAUAAAACAUUUUUCCCAUUUAACCAACUGGAGGGCCAAGCUCUUGCCAUGUCACUUGCUCCUCUUAUCCAUCUAUAUUCUAUAAUACAUAUAAAAAAACGAAUUUGGAGACACUUUUGAACGGAUAAAAAUAUUAUUUAUUUUUCAUUAUAUUACUAAAUUAAGUUUAAAAAGAACUAUAAUUUAAUUUAAAAUUAUUAGUUAAAAACUUGUGUUAAUUUUAAAAUAGAGUUAUUUAAGCAUCUUAAUUGUCACUCAAUUAAUAUUAAUGUUAUAUAUCAAUUAAAAUUAAAGUUUAGCUUUAUAAAUAACAUUUAGUAGUUAAGUAUAUUUAAUGAAGUAGCAACUAGUAAAAAACCGAGAUUAUUAGUGUUAAUAAUUUAGAAUUGUAUAAAAAAGAGAGGUAACAUCGAAUUUUAUUCGAAUAACAAUGGCAGCAAAAAGUAAUUGAAGGUAAUAUAAUAUUAUGAUUUUUUUUUUUUUACAUUUUUAUGUAAGUUGUUUAUACUAUGUGAAGCAAUCAUUAGGUUUGUUUUGAAAAGCUAACAAAUUUCAACAAUUAUUUGUAUUCACUGUAUUUAUUAAUUUAGUGUAAAUAUAUUUUAUAUUUAUCAUGAAAUCUUAUCAUAAUCGUUGCUUGUUAUUUUACCCUUUUUUUUUAUAUAGUCCAAAUUUGUAUAUUAUUUAAAAAUUAAUGAUAGGUAACAAUAAUUAAAAAUGCAUUGUAUGUAACAUUAGAAACUAAUACUUUAAAAGAAAUCGACUUACCAUUUCAUAAUUGAUAAAAAUAAUCUAACAUCUCUUAAAAUAUAUUUAUCAAGUAAAAUUCAAGUUAAAGAGAGAGAGAGAGAAUUAUACAUUUAUUAUUGAUCUAUUUUAUUUUAUUUAUUUUCCUCCAUUUUUAAUUACUAAAUAAUGAAAAUUUAACCACCUUAAAAUUACAUUGGACUACUAUAAAAUUGAAUUAUAUUUGAUUUUAAACUUAUGUUUAAUUCAGUUAUAUAUUAAAAUUAAGAUAAAUUCAUUAAAUCAUUUUUAUCUAAAAUUAAUUACAAAUAUUUAAAAGGUUUUAAUCGAAAUAAAUUUCUUAAAAUAAAAAAUAAAAUUAUUUGAAAGUUAAUAUAUAAAAUUGAAAUAAAAUUAAGUCUAAAAUAUUUAACAUAGUUAAAAUAUAUAUAUAUAUAUAAUUACUUACUAAAUAAACAGGUAAACCAAUGUUUAUAUAUAGAUGUAGGAGGAUUUGUUUGGGAAGUAAGAAGCCCCUUUGACAUCUCUUCAUUUGCAAAUAAAUCUCGGUGUGAAAACACAGAGACAAAGGGCUGAUCUUUAAAUAAGAAAAAGAGUGGAUCCGCAGGAUCCCAAAUGAAUUGGCUUAUUCGAAAAAAGCCUUGUUCUUUGGAGGAUCUAUCUUGUGCCUGGUACUACAUGGUUCCACUCUGCAAAAACGCCGAAUCAUUCUCUUGAAGCUCAUCCUUUUCAUCAUAAAUGAUCCGCUUGCCCCGAAAUGGCCCGGCCCAAUGGGGAAAUCCUAAUUCAUUGGGCCUUUCGAUACAAUCAAAUAGAAAGCCCCAAUGGCGCAUAUCCUAGGAGCCCAAACUAUGUGAUUGAAUAAAUCCUCCUCUAUCUGUUACGGGUCAAAUACUCCUUCUCCUUUCUCUUCUUCAAACUCUAAUUCGUAUUUUUCAUAGAGAUUUCUCAUCAACGAUAGAACAAGAUCCAUUUUGCAUAAUAUAUAAGGGAUUCCCCUCAUCUUUGUUUUUUUUUUUGUGAAUUACUAUAACAAGGCAAAACCCGAACAAUCAACGCGACUAGUACGAUUCGAACCUAGAUCACACUUGGUGCAAUAAUCAUUCUUAACUAUUAGGCCAUCACAUGGAAUUCAAUUGAUUCAUCUUUUUGAAUAUUUUCUCGUAUUACGUAAAUAUAAUAUAAAGUAAAUGAUGGAAUCAAACAUAUGAAAAUUAAUUUAAUUGAACCCAUGAAGUCGAUUAUUUAAAAAAAAACAAGUUUGAUUAAAUUGGUAUUUUAAUUCCGGAAAUACAAUACAUGAUGAAUUUCAAUAUUCCUAUGAUUUUGUUUUAUUUAAACAUUGAACUCAACUACAUCAAAACCUACAAAAUUCCAAACUACAUUCUCAAACAAACAGAUAAUACAUAAUGGGAAUCUUUGAUAAAAAGAUGCUAUUGAGAAAUGAAUAUUUUGUAAAGGUAGAAUUAAAAUACUCAGUUUUAAGUCUUGUGGAUAAAAAAAAAAAACAAUAUUUAUAUAAUUUUGAUUUUGGUUUUGGGAUUCAACUUGAUUCUACUUUAAACUUAAAUGUAACUACAAGCUAAUAAAAAACAUCAAGAACUGAAUUUGGAUAGAAAAUCCAAUGACUACAAGACAACAGAAAACCUCACGAGUUUGAGAUAACUUAACCUGAAAAUCUAAAAAUAUCCGAGUCAUGCUAAAUUGAUGGAAUUCUUUAUUGCAAAAAGAAUAAAAUAAAUAAAAAUUGAUGGUUGACUGGGGUUUUUCUUAUUUAGUUCAUAACUUGAUCUGCAAAAAAUUGGAGAUACCACCAUUAAUGGAGCUCAUCAAUGAAAAUAAACUUUACAACCCAUUGUUUCUCUCUCUCAUCCUCUUUAUUUUCUCCUUUUUACUUUGGCUUAAACUAUCAAAACACAAAUUACAGAAUUUGCCUCCUUCUCCCCCAAAGUUACCAAUCAUUGGCCACCUUCAUAAACUUGUGAAACUCCCCCACCGAUCCCUUCGAGACCUUUCACUAAAAUAUGGGUCCUUAAUGUUUCUUAAUUUAGGUCAAAAUCCAACCCUAGUUGUAUCAUCAGCUGACUCCUUGAAAGAAAUGGUGAAAAACUAUGAUGUUGUUUUCAUGAACAAGCCAAACACCACUGCUGCAAAUAUCUUGUUUUAUGGGUGCAAAGAUUUGGGGUUUUCACCGUACGGAGAUUAUUGGAGACAAGUUAGGAAACUUUGUGUUCUUGAGUUACUAAGUGCUCGAAGAGUUCAAUCGUUUCAGUUCGUAAGAGAAGAAGAAGUUGAUGCUAUAAUAAGGAAAAUCCAUGAGGCUGCUGUUAAUGGUGAUGUUGUUGAUUUAACCAAGAUGUUAAUGGCGGUCUCGAGUAACAUUGUUUCCCGAUGUGUUAUUAGUCGUAAAGCUGAAGACGAUAAUGGCGGAAUUCAUUUUGGAGAGUUAACGAGGAGGGUUAUGGUUCUUUUCACCACCUUGUGUUUUGGUGAUUUUUGGCCGUCUUUGAAAUGGUUGGAUUAUGUAACUGGGUUUAUUUCACGAUUGAAAUCAACUUUUUGGGAAUUGGAUUUGUUUUUUGAUCAGGUAAUUGAUGAACAUAAGGAAAAGGAAGCCAUUGAUGAAACGAAAGACUUCCUUUCUAUCAUUUUGCAACUUCAAAAAGAUGGCUUGGAUCUCACUCAAGACAACAUCAAAGCAAUCUUACUGGUUUUUUUUUCUUUAACUCUCUUCUUCUCAUUUCUUCAUGUUUUAUCGAUUAAACAAAAAUAUUAAAUUUAAGGAUGAAUUCAUGCAAAAUAAUUAGGAUAAUUUUAAAAUAUGACCUCAGAAACUUGAGUUUCAAUAAAAAUAUGGUUAAGCUAUUUUAUCAAAUCCCUAUGGCUAUGAUAUUUAAGAAGGCUUGAAACUCAUAACAUGGAUUUGUACAAAAAACAGAUAAAUUAAAUCUGGACCUGGCCCAACCUUUUUUCUCAUUUUAUAAUAUGCUUAUUUUUAUUAAAAAGGGGGGGGGGUAUAUUAUGCAGUUUGUAUCAUAAACUAAUUCAAUUUAGGUUUGGUUACACUUCAACUUCAAUUUCUCAUAAUUUUAUGAAAACUGAGAAGUUACCCAGUAAACGUAUUAACUUCAACAGUUGAUUUCUGCUAAUUUAUUGCAUAUAGAUAGUGGCAGAUUUUGGAAUUGAGUUUUGGGAGGCCUAAUUUUAAGAGUUUAAUAAGAAAUUUUUUUAAAAAAAAUUGGGGUCUAAUUAAAAUUUUUGUGAGAUCAAUGAGAAUUUUUAAAAAUUUUAAGAGAGCUCAAUUAAAAUUUUAAAAAAGUUCAAAAUUAUAAUAAGAAUUUUUAAAAAUUUGAGAGGUACUGUUUAAAAAUUUCUAAAAAUUUUAAGAGAGAAAUAAAAAAUUUUCAAAAUUUAGGUGAGGAGCCAUGCCCUCUAGGCCACCAUAACAGUCCGCCUCUGCAUAUAGAUCAUUGAACUACUGGAUUUUGCUAAUUUUGUGCAUAUAAAUCGAUGAAGUAUUGAUUUCUAGGUCAAUGUUUUUAUUGAUCAAAUUUUAUUAAAUUAAAGUAGAGAGAUUAACCUUUUAAUUUUCAUAAAAUAAAAGGAUAAAAUUCAUAAUUAAAUCUUAAAUAUUAUAAAACGUAAUAAAAUUGAUUAAGAAUUAAACAACAAAAUAUGAAUAGUUUUAUUUUUGUUUUGAAAAUUUUGGUUUUUCAGGACAUGUUUGCUGGAGGAACUGAAACAACAUCCACAACAGCAGAAUGGGCAAUGUCCGAAUUGUUGAAAAAACCAGACGUGUUGAAAAAAGUUGAACAAGAUGUACGAAAAGUGGCGAAAAACAAACAGAAAAUCGAAUUAAACGACCUAAAUCAAAUGAAAUACUUGAAAUGUGUGAUCAAAGAAACAUUAAGGCUUCAUCCCCCAGUUGUUUUCUUGGUCCGUCGAGGAACAUCGGAAGCCGUUAAACUAGGAAAGUACGACAUUCCACCCAACACUACAGUUUUCAUCAAUGUGUGGGCGAUUCAAAGGGACCCGAUAUGGUGGGAAAACCCCGAAGAGUUCAUCCCGGAAAGAUUUGAGAACUCCAGGGUUGAUUUUAAGGGUCAAGAUUUUCAGUUCAUCCCGUUCGGGUGCGGGAGAAGGGAUUGUCCUGGGAUGCCAUUUGCGAUUGCAUCGCUUGAAUAUUUGGUUGCAAAUCUUUUGUUUAGGUUUGAUUGGAAGUUGGGUGAUGGUGAAACUUCGGAGACUUUGGAUUUGAUUGAAAACUAUGGGCUUACUGUUAAUAAGAAAGUUCCUCUUCGUGUUAUGCCCACCAUAUUUCAUCCAUCUACUUAGCCAUUUUUCAUCUCAUCUCUUUUCUCUACUUUUGUUUUAUCUUCUUCGUUACAACACAACUACUUUUCUAUCCCAUGCCAUAUUUCAUAUAGAUUUCGACUUCAUUAAAAACAAUUCACAUUUUCUAAUUGAAUCGAGUUUUAUUCACUCUUAUCUUAUAUUGUUAUUUGUUGUAAAAAGUUGUUGCAUUUAAAAGCUUUUACUUUUAUCUAUGGGUUAAAUCACUUUUUGAGGUCUGAACUUGACAACUACUCUCACAUUGGGGUCUAAACUUUAUUUUUGUCCAAGUCAGUCACUGAACAUGGCAAUUGUUCUCACGUUCGGGGCCUAAACAUGAGGUUAGCAUUUAGGCUUAGCUUGGUAGAGUAAAAAGAAAAUUGGAAAGAGUAGAAAAAUAGAAUGAUAAAAAAAAUAUAAAUUCCCUUUUCAUGGUGUGUUUGGUAGGAAAUGUGGAAAAAUUUAAAGAAAAAAUAAUUUUCUUUCCAUUCAUUAUUUGGUAGAAUUGAAAAAUGAGAGGAAAGAAAAUGUAUAAUUUUGAAUUAACAUACAUCCCUUCCUUAUUUUCUCUCUUCUUAUCAUUCCAAUUUGGAAUGAUUUGUUUUCGUGCAUUAGGCAAAAAAAUGAUCAUCUAUUAUAUUUUCUUUUCUCUCACUUUUCUUCCUUAUCAAGCACACUCAAAAUUUAUUUUCUUUCUGUUUUUCUUUUCUCUCAUUUCAUCAUUUCACUUUUCUACUCAAUCAAGCACACCCCUAGGUAGAACUAGUGUAACACCCCUAUACCCAGUCCGACCAUAUAAACCUGGUAUACGACUAUUAUGUUUGGUGUCAAAGCGAUUUUGGCUAAACACUGUGUAAUUUAAACAUUUACCUGUUAAAAAUAGAACGUCGGUAAUGACAAUGCAUCGCAAAGAAAAGGAGAGAAAAAAAUAAAGAACACACAGAUUUUACCUGGAAACCCUUUCGGGAAAAAAUUUACGGGCAGAGGAGAAAAUAAUUUACUAUAUCGAAUUCGAAUGAUUAUAGGAGGAGUUUCGACUUCAUCUAUUUAUAGGUUGAAAAAAUCUAAUUCUAAUCAAAGUCAAAUAUAUUAUGUUAAUAAAUGUUAAAUAUAUUAUACUUAUAAAUACUAAAUCUUCUAGAAAGAAUAUAUAUUUUGUUUAACUUGACUUGCAAGCAAUCUCUUAGAAUUUGGGUCACACAACUCUAACAAUCUCUACCAUGACACGAAUUCUUAAUGAAGAAGUUUUUCACCUCUUCCAUAAAACCCCUUAAGGGUUUAACUUCAGCAAUGAACACCAACCAAGUCUAAGCAAUGCUCAAACUUGGUUAUAGGAAGUGACUUAGUCAUCAUAUCUGCUGGAUUUUCAUGAGUACUAAUUUUGCUCACAACAAUAUCACCACAAUCAAUAAUAUCACGAACAAAAUGAUAUCGAACAUCAAUGUGUUUUGUUCUUUCAUGAAACAUUUAAUCUUUGGUAAGGAAGAUGACACUCUGAUUGCCACAAAAUAUUGUACUGAUUUGAAGGUCUUUAUUGAGUUCACUAAAUAGUCCAUUCAACCAAAUAGCUUUUUUACAGCCUCAGUAAUCGCUAUGUAUUCAGCUUCAGUGGUAGACAAAGCGACUGUAGUUUGCAAAGUGACUUUCCAACUAAUUGCACAACCUUCGAUUGUAAAGACAUAACCUGUGAGAGAUCUUCUUCUAUCAAGGUCUCCAGCAAAAUCAGCAUCAACAUACCCAAUAACUCUAUCUCUAGUUCUUCCAAACUAUAAACAAACAUUAGUAGCACCUCGUAAGUAUCUUAAAAUCGACUAAACUGCUUUUCAAUGUUCUUUACCAAGAUUCAUUAUGUAUCUACUAACUGCACUGACUGCAUAUGAUAAAUCUGGACGUGAACAAAUCAUAGCAUACAUGAGAGAUCCCACUGCACUAGAGUAUGAAACAUGUGACAUGUACUCAAUCUCAUCAUCUGAUUGUGGAGACAAAGCCGGUGAAAGUCUGAAAUGGGCUGCUAAAUGAGUACUAACAAGCUUAACACUCUGCAUAUUGAACCUGUAAAAAACUUUCUCAAUGUACCCCUUCUAACUAAGGUACAAUUUACUUGAUUUUCUAUCUCUGAGAAUCUCCAUACCAAGUAUCUUCUUUGCUGGUUCCAAAUCAUUCAUCUCAAAUUCUUCACUUAGUUGGGCUUUGACCUUUCUUAUCUCUUUAUUUAUCUUUUGCUGCUAUCAACAUGUCAUCAACAUAAAAGAGCAGAUACACAAAAAAACCAUACUGUUUUUCUUAAAGUAAACACAACUGUCAAAACUACUUUUUUUUUAAAAUUAUAAGAAUUCAUAAUGGAAUCAAACCUCUUGCACCACUAUCUUGGUGACUGUUUCAAACUGUAAAGGGACUUUUUCAGCAAGCAAACAUAGUAUUCUUUUUUUGAGACUGUAAAACCCUCUGGUUGCUGCAUGUAAAUAUCAUUCUUAAGUUUUCCAUGCAAAAAUACAAUUUUUGCAUCUAACUGCUUAAGCUCCAAAUCAUGCAUGACCAUAGUACCAAGCAAAACUCGAAUCGAACCAUGCUUCACAAUUGGAGGGAACACAUCUGCGAAGUCCACUCUUUGAAUUUGACUGUAACCCUUUGCAACAAGCAUUGCUUUAUAUCUGAGUUCUUCAACUUCUAGAGUCCCUUCUUUCUUUUUAAACACACAUUUACAACAAACAACAUUUUUACCUUUAAAAAGUUUCACAAGAUCCCAUGUUCUGUUUUUGUGGAGUGAUUUCAUCUCCUCUUGCAUAGCAAAUAUCCACUUUUCUGAGUCUUCACAGCUAACCGCCUUAGAAUAAUUAGAUGGCUAUUGGUUUACAUCUAUAUUUUCAGCCACAUUUAAAGUAUAAGCAACUAGAUCAGCCUCGGCAUAAU